Molecule: ribosomal RNA, 441 nt
Filed under: uncultured bacterium
Lineage: Bacteria
Description: bacterial SSU rRNA
Rfam family: Bacterial small subunit ribosomal RNA
Source: RNAcentral
AAUAUUGCACAAUGGGGGAAACCCUGAUGCAGCCAUGCCGCGUGUGUGAAGAAGGCCUUCGGGUUGUAAAGCACUUUCAGUAGGGAGGAAGGUAGUGUAGUUAAUACCUGCAUUAUUUGACGUUACCUACAGAAGAAGCACCGGCUAACUCCGUGCCAGCAGCCGCGGUAAUACGGAGGGUGCGAGCGUUAAUCGGAAUUACUGGGCGUAAAGCGCAUGCAGGCGGCCUGUUAAGUCAGAUGUGAAAGCCCCGGGGCUUAACCUCGGAAUUGCAUUUGAAACUGGCAGGCUAGAGUCUUGUAGAGGGGGUAGAAUUUCAGGUGUAGCGGUGAAAUGCGUAGAGAUCUGAAGGAAUACCAGUGGCGAAGGCGGCCCCCUGGACAAAGACUGACGCUCAGAUGCGAAAGCGUGGGGAGCAAACAGGAUUAGAUACCCUGGUAG